UUUCCGUAGGCGAACCUGCGGAGGGAUCAUUACAGAGUUCAUGCCCUACCGGGUAGAUCUCCCACCCUAUGUUAUUAUUACUUUGUUGCUUUGGCGGGCCGUUAGGCUCCGGCCCGACUACCGGCCCCGGCUGGUAAGCGCCCGCCAGAGGACCCAAAACCCUGAAUAUUAGUGUCGUCUGAGUACUAUAUAAUAGUUAAAACUUUCAACAACGGAUCUCUUGGUUCUG
Molecule: unclassified non-coding RNA, 229 nt
Filed under: plant metagenome
Description: partial contains small subunit ribosomal RNA, internal transcribed spacer 1, and 5.8S ribosomal RNA
Source: RNAcentral